GACGAACGCUGGCGGCGUGCUUAACACAUGCAAGUCGAACGGAAAGGCCCUGCUUUUGUGGGGUGCUCGAGUGGCGAACGGGUGAGUAACACGUGAGUAACCUGCCCUUGACUUUGGGAUAACUUCAGGAAACUGGGGCUAAUAUCGGAUAGGAGCUCCUGCUGCAUGGUGGGGGUUGGAAAGUUUCGGCGGUUGGGGAUGGACUCGCGGCUUAUCAGCUUGUUGGUGGGGUAGUGGCUUACCAAGGCUUUGACGGGUAGCCGGCCUGAGAGGGUGACCGGCCACAUUGGGACUGAGAUACGGCCCAGACUCCUACGGGAGGCAGCAGUGGGGAAUAUUGCACAAUGGGCGGAAGCCUGAGGCAGCAACGCCGCGUGCGGGAUGACGGCCUUCGGGUUGUAAACCGCUUUCGCCUGUGACGAAGCGUGAGUGACGGUAAUGGGUAAAGAAGCACCGGCUAACUACGUG
This 468-nucleotide ribosomal RNA is filed under the name uncultured bacterium. RNAcentral's name for it is "partial 16S ribosomal RNA". It matches the Rfam family "Bacterial small subunit ribosomal RNA", at positions 28 to 507 of the family's 1533-position model. The record is from RNAcentral.